RNAcentral lists this ribosomal RNA (557 nucleotides) under uncultured bacterium. RNAcentral describes it as "bacterial SSU rRNA". It matches the Rfam family "Bacterial small subunit ribosomal RNA", at positions 102 to 694 of the family's 1533-position model. The record is from RNAcentral.
ACGGGUGCGCAACGCGUGGGAAUCUGCCCUUAGGUUCGGAAUAACAGCUGGAAACGGCUGCUAAUACCGGAUGAUAUCGCGAGAUCAAAGAUUUAUCGCCUGAGGAUGAGCCCGCGUUGGAUUAGGUAGUUGGUGGGGUAAAGGCCUACCAAGCCGACGAUCCAUAGCUGGUCUGAGAGGAUGAUCAGCCACACUGGGACUGAGACACGGCCCAGACUCCUACGGGAGGCAGCAGUGGGGAAUAUUGGACAAUGGGCGCAAGCCUGAUCCAGCAAUGCCGCGUGAGUGAUGAAGGCCCUAGGGUUGUAAAGCUCUUUUACCCGGGAAGAUAAUGACUGUACCGGGAGAAUAAGCCCCGGCUAACUCCGUGCCAGCAGCCGCGGUAAUACGGAGGGGGCUAGCGUUGUUCGGAAUUACUGGGCGCAAAGCGCACGUAGGCGGCUUUGUAAGUCAGAGGUGAAAGCCUGGAGCUCAACUCCAGAACUGCCUUUGAGACUGCAUCGCUUGAAUCCAGGAGAGGUCAGUGGAAUUCCGAGUGUAGAGGUGAAAUUCGUAGA